Molecule: ribosomal RNA, 497 nt
Filed under: uncultured bacterium
Lineage: Bacteria
Description: partial 16S ribosomal RNA
Rfam family: Bacterial small subunit ribosomal RNA
Source: RNAcentral
GAUGAACGCUGGCGGCGUGCCUAAUACAUGCAAGUCGAGCGAACAGACGAGGAGCUUGCUCCUCUGACGUUAGCGGCGGACGGGUGAGUAACACGUGGAUAACCUACCUAUAAGACUGGGAUAACUUCGGGAAACCGGAGCUAAUACCGGAUAAUAUAUUGAACCGCAUGGUUCAAUAGUGAAAGACGGUUUUGCUGUCACUUAUAGAUGGAUCCGCGCCGCAUUAGCUAGUUGGUAAGGUAACGGCUUACCAAGGCAACGAUGCGUAGCCGACCUGAGAGGGUGAUCGGCCAAACUGGAACUGAGACACGGGCCAGACUCCUACGGGAGGCAGCAGUAGGGAAUCUUCCGCAAUGGGCGAAAGCCUGAAGGAGCAACGCCGCGUGAGUGAUGAAGGUAUUCGGAUCGUAAAACUCUGUUAUUAGGGAAGAACAAAUGUGUAAGUAACUAUGCACGUCUUGACGGUACCUAAUCAGAAAGCCACGGCUAACUACGUG